This 280-nucleotide ribosomal RNA is filed under the name uncultured Rhodobacterales bacterium. RNAcentral's name for it is "partial 16S ribosomal RNA". It matches the Rfam family "Bacterial small subunit ribosomal RNA", at positions 505 to 784 of the family's 1533-position model. The record is from RNAcentral. Lineage: Bacteria; Pseudomonadati; Pseudomonadota; Alphaproteobacteria; Rhodobacterales.
GUGCCAGCCGCCGCGGUAAUACGGAGGGGGCUAGCGUUGUUCGGAAUUACUGGGCGUAAAGCGCACGUAGGCGGAUCAGAAAGUUGGGGGUGAAAUCCCGGGGCUCAACCUCGGAACUGCCUUCAAAACUAUUGGUCUUGAGUUCGAGAGAGGUGAGUGGAAUUCCGAGUGUAGAGGUGAAAUUCGUAGAUAUUCGGAGGAACACCAGUGGCGAAGGCGGCUCACUGGCUCGAUACUGACGCUGAGGUGCGAAAGCGUGGGGAGCAAACAGGAUUAGAUA